UUGCUGAGGCUGGCUUUGAACUUGCAAUUCUCCUGCCUCAGCCUCCCAAGCCACUGGGAUUACAAGUGUGUGCCACGGUGUCCGGCUGCUUCAGGUAUUUUAUUAUAGUCAUGGAAAGAUGAUUAGCACAUGUGAAUCAACUAUAUUUUGUUUAUUCAUUUAUUAGUUGAUGGGAUUUUAAGUUGUUUCCAGUUAUUCAUUUAUUAGUUGAUGGGAAUUUGAGUUGUUUCCAGAUCAUGUUGGGAACAUUCAUGUUCUUAUACAGACUUUAUGUUUUCCCUUCUGUUGGGUAUAUGGCUCAGAGUGGAAUUGGUGGGUCAUAUGAUAAUUCUGUGUUUAACCUUUUGAGUAACUACUCAAAUGUUUUCCAAAGUGACUUGUAUUUUCUUUUUUAUUGCAUAAAAUAUACAUAAAAUCUCUAUUUUUAACAAAUUUUUUAAUAGUCAGAAGCUUGCUUGGGCCAUCCCAGCCUUUUUUCUGCUCUGGGUCUUAAAUAUGAGGAUGGGGCUUCUAGAGACCUAUUUUUCUGUCAAGCUCUAGGGCAAAAUCCCCCUAAGCUCAUGUCUCUCCCUUCCUUCUUCCUCUUCCCCAUUCCUCUGCUAUUUCCCUCCAAGGUCCUAGAGUUAUGUCCCUGCUGCCUCAGUUCUUAUAUCCCCCCAAUUUGGGUGUCCUCCUCUGUCCCUGUGCUGGAGAAACCUUGGCUGGCAGAGGCUAUCUUGUUUAAGAGAACAAUCCCUAGUUAUCUCUUAUGAGAGACAUAUGUCUCUGUACAGCUCUCUUCUUGUCUCUUUGAUGCUCUGUCUGAAUAAAAAUCUUCCUCCUAUUAUCCUGUCAUCUG
Molecule: long non-coding RNA, 838 nt
Filed under: Marmota monax (woodchuck)
Lineage: Eukaryota; Metazoa; Chordata; Mammalia; Rodentia; Sciuridae
Source: RNAcentral